This is a long non-coding RNA of Ochotona princeps (American pika), 829 nucleotides long. RefSeq lists it as uncharacterized. The record is from RefSeq and is a predicted model, not a curated record. The transcript has 3 exons. Lineage: Eukaryota; Metazoa; Chordata; Mammalia; Lagomorpha; Ochotonidae.
UCAGCUUUCCUGAUAAUAUGGACCCUGGAAGGCAGUGGUGAUGGCUUCAGUAAUUGAAUUCCUGACAUUUACAUGAAAGAUCUAGACUGAAUUCCUGAAUCCCAGUCUUGUCCCAGCCCAGUCUCCAGCUAUGGCAAAUUGGAGAAGUGCAAAGCACUACUACUACUUUGCACAAUGAUGCUUCUGAGGGAUGGAUUACAAGUGCAGGUGAUCCUAUCUCCAGCCAUAUCCAGAAACAUCAUGAAUGCUAUGCCAAGAGGCAUGGGCUUCAGCACACUCUCACGACUCGCUGUUACCAAGGCACAGUAAUUUCAUCACCACUGGCUGUAGAUACUUUGAAGAAGUUCUUCAUCAUACUAAAAAGAGGUCAGACAAUGUACAGUAUUACCAGCAUGGACUGCAGUGUAAGCAAAUUGGUAUACAAAAAAGCCAUUACCCACACUCACAAAGCAGAGGAAAGUAUAAGUCACUAAUAUCAAGUGGAUUCAUGAUCCCUGCAACGACAAAACGACCAGGGGUGCUUCACAAGGAAAAAUGUAGGUAUGCCAAGUAUAAAACCUAGAAGGUUGAACCUGUUUAAAGAUUCAUAUAUUUACAAAGCUGAUAGGAAAUAUACAUUUUAAUGACCAUUUUAAAAACUAUGUAUUAAUCCUGCAUGAUUUAUAAAGGAAUUGUAGGACCUAACUGAAUAUUCUGCAGUCCAACUCUGCACGUCAUUUUUAAACGUUUUACUAAAAGUCAUCUUAAAAAUAAUUAGCUCCCAAAGUUUUCAGUCUUUCUGAUGUAUUUUUUUCAAAUGCUAGAUUUUUACCAUGGUGUUCCAUUUCUG